AGUACAGUAGAGGUNGGCGGAAUUCGUGGUGUAGCGGUGAAAUGCUUAGAUAUCACGAAGAACUCCGAUUGCGAAGGCAGCUCACUGGACUGCAACUGACACUGAUGCUCGAAAGUGUGGGUAUCAAACAGGAUUAGAUACCCUGGUAGUCCACACAGUAAACGAUGAAUACUCGCUGUUUGCGAUAUACAGUAAGCGGCCAAGCGAAAGCAUUAAGUAUUCCACCUGGGGAGUACGCCGGCAACGGUGAAACUCAAAGGAAUUGACGGGGGCCCGCACAAGCGGAGGAACAUGUGGUUUAAUUCGAUGAUACGCGAGGAACCUUACCCGGGCUUAAAUUGCAGUGGAAUGAUAUGGAAACAUGUCAGUGAGCAAUCACCGCUGUGAAGGUGCUGCAUGGUUGUCGUCAGCUCGUGCCGUGAGGUGUCGGCUUAAGUGCCAUAACGAGCGCAACCCUUAUCUUCAGUUACUAACAGGUCAUGCUGAGGACUCUGGAGAGACUGCCGUCGUAAGAUGUGAGGAAGGUGGGGAUGACGUCAAAUCAGCACGGCCCUUACGUCCGGGGCUACACACGUGUUACAAUGGGGGGUACAGAAGGCAGCUAGCGGGUGACCGUAUGCUAAUCCCAAAAUCCUCUCUCAGUUCGGAUCGAAGUCUGCAACCCGACUUCGUGAAGCUGGAUUCGCUAGUAAUCGCGCAUCAGCCACGGCGCGGUGAAUACGUUCCCGGGCCUUGUACACACCGCCCGUCAAGCCAUGGGAGCCGGGGGUACCUGAAGUACGUAACCGCAAGGAUCGUCCUAGGGUAAAACUGGUGACUGGGGCUAAGUCGUAACAAGGUAACCA
Molecule: ribosomal RNA, 845 nt
Filed under: uncultured bacterium
Lineage: Bacteria
Description: bacterial SSU rRNA
Rfam family: Bacterial small subunit ribosomal RNA
Source: RNAcentral